This 73-nucleotide transfer RNA is filed under the name Babesia ovata. It matches the Rfam family "tRNA". Rfam says of the family: Transfer RNA (tRNA) molecules are approximately 80 nucleotides in length. Their secondary structure includes four short double-helical elements and three loops (D, anti-codon, and T loops). Lineage: Eukaryota; Apicomplexa; Aconoidasida; Piroplasmida; Babesiidae. The record is from Rfam by way of RNAcentral.
GCUAAUAUAGUUUAAUAGGUAAAAUUGCUAAUUUGUAAUUAGUCGGAUAAGAGUUCGAACCUCCUUAUUAGCU